GAUGUACGGAUUACCUUUACAAACAUCUGCAUUAAAGGAUCCUCAAUUUCUGAUUCCAUCCAGUGGACAUAACAUUGGUGUUUGUCUACAGGGGAGGGUUUCGGACACUGUUAUUUGAAUUCUGAAAUAACCGCCCCCUAGUCUUUCGUGUUGCAGGUUGGUUACUGCCUCAAAUAGGGACUUGUAGCAGGGACUACAGUUAGGUCUUGGGGGUUGGUUAAUAGGGACUGGUAGCAGUGACUAUAGUUAGGUCUUGGGGGUUGGUUAAUAGGGACUGGUAGCAGCCAGGGCCUACAGUUAGGUCUUGGUGGUUGGUUAAUAGGGACUGGUAGCAGCCAGGGCCUACAGUUAGGUCUUGGGGGUUGGUUAAUAGGGACUGGUAGCAGUGACUAUAGUUAGGUCUUGGGGGUUGGUUAAUAGGGACUGGUAGCAGGGACUAGUCUUGGGGGUUGGUUAAUAGGGACUGGUAGCAGCCAGGGACUACAGUUAGGUCUUGGGGGUUGGUUAAUAGGGACUGGUAGCAGCCAGGGACUACGGUUAGGUCUUGGGGGUUGGUUAAUAGGGACUGGUAGCAGCCAGGGACUACGGUUAGGUCUUGGGGGUUGGUUAAUAGGGACUGGUAGCAGCCAGGGACUACGGUUAGGUCUUGGGGGUUGGUUAAUAGGGACUGGUAGCAGCCAGGGACUACAGUUAGGUCUUGGGGGUUGGUUAAUAGGGACUGGUAGCAGCCAGGGACUACGGUUAGGUCUUGGGGGUUGGUUAAUAGGGACUGGUAGCAGCCAGGGACUACAGUUAGGUCUUGGGGGUUGGUUAAUAGGGACUGGUAGCAGUGACUAUAGUUAGGUCUUGGGGGUUGGUUAAUAGGGACUGGUAGCAGUGACUAUAGUUAGGUCUUGGGGGUUGGUUAAUAGGGACUGGUAGCAGCCAGGGACUACGGUUAGGUCUUGGGGGUUGGUUAAUAGGGACUGGUAGCAGCCAGGGACUACGGUUAGGUCUUGGGGGUUGGUUAAUAGGGACUGGUAGCAGUGACUAUAGUUAGGUCUUGGGGGUUGGUUAAUAGGGACUGGUAGCAGUGACUAUAGUUAGGUCUUGGGGGUUGGUUAAUAGGGACUGGUAGCAGCCAGGGCCUACAGUUAGGUCUUGGGGGUUGGUUAAUAGGGACUGGUAGCAGCCAGGGCCUACAGUUAGGUCUUGGGGGUUGGUUAAUAGGGACUGGUAGCAGCCAGGGACUACAGUUAGGUCUUGGGGGUUGGUUAAUAGGGACUGGUAGCAGCCAGGGACUACGGUUAGGUCUUGGGGGUUGGUUAAUAGGGACUGGUAGCAGCCAGGGACUAUAGUUAGGUCUUGGGGGUUGGUUAAUAGGGACUGGUAGCAGUGACUAUAGUUAGGUCUUGGGGGUUGGUUAAUAGGGACUGGUAGCAGCCAGGGACUACGGUUAGGUCUUGGGGGUUGGUUAAUAGGGACUGGUAGCAGCCAGGGACUACGGUUAGGUCUUGGGGGUUGGUUAAUAGGGACUGGUAGCAGCCAGGGCCUACGGUUAGGUCUUGGGGGUUGGUUAAUAGGGACUGGUAGCAGCCAGGGACUACGGUUAGGUCUUGGGCGUUGGUUAAUAGGGACUGGUAGCAGCCAGGGAUUACGGUUAGGUCUUGGGGGUAGGUUAAUAGGGACUGGUAGCAGGGAUUACGGUUAGGUCUUGGGGGUUGGUUAAUAGGGACUGGUAGCAGGGACUAUAGUUAGGUCUUGGGGGUUGGUUAAUAGGGACUGGUAGCAGCCAGGGACUACAGUUAGGUCUUGGGGGUUGGUUAAUAGGGACUGGUAGCAGCCAGGGACUACGGUUAGGUCUUGGGGGUUGGUUAAUAGGGACUGGUAGCAGCCAGGGACUACAGUUAGGUCUUGGGGGUUGGUUAAUAGGGACUGGUAGCAGCCAGGGACUACGGUUAGGUCUUGGGGGUUGGUUAAUAGGGACUGGUAGCAGGGACUACAGUUAGGUCUUGGGGGUUGUUUAAUAGGGACUGGUAGCAGGGACUACAGUUAUUAGCCAUGCCCUGAUGUUGUCAAGCCAAACGAUCACGAACAUAUAAUGUUACUCGUGCUUUGACUU
Long non-coding RNA from Oncorhynchus tshawytscha (Chinook salmon), 2101 nucleotides. RefSeq lists it as uncharacterized. The transcript has 14 exons. The record is from RefSeq and is a predicted model, not a curated record. Lineage: Eukaryota; Metazoa; Chordata; Actinopteri; Salmoniformes; Salmonidae.